Molecule: ribosomal RNA, 610 nt
Filed under: Agromyces indicus
Lineage: Bacteria; Bacillati; Actinomycetota; Actinomycetes; Micrococcales; Microbacteriaceae
Description: bacterial SSU rRNA
Rfam family: Bacterial small subunit ribosomal RNA
Source: RNAcentral
GGCUCACCAAGGCGUCGACGGGUAGCCGGCCUGAGAGGGUGACCGGCCACACUGGGACUGAGACACGGCCCAGACUCCUACGGGAGGCAGCAGUGGGGAAUAUUGCACAAUGGGCGCAAGCCUGAUGCAGCAACGCCGCGUGCGGGAUGACGGCCUUCGGGUUGUAAACCGCUUUUAGUAGGGAAGAAGGGCUUCGGCUUGACGGUACCUGCAGAAAAAGGACCGGCUAACUACGUGCCAGCAGCCGCGGUAAUACGUAGGGUCCGAGCGUUGUCCGGAAUUAUUGGGCGUAAAGAGCUCGUAGGCGGUUUGUCGCGUCUGCUGUGAAAACUAGAGGCUCAACCUCUAGCCUGCAGUGGGUACGGGCAGACUUGAGUGGUGUAGGGGAGACUGGAAUUCCUGGUGUAGCGGUGGAAUGCGCAGAUAUCAGGAGGAACACCGAUGGCGAAGGCAGGUCUCUGGGCACUUACUGACGCUGAGGAGCGAAAGCGUGGGGAGCGAACAGGAUUAGAUACCCUGGUAGUCCACGCCGUAAACGUUGGGCGCUAGAUGUGGGGACCUUUCCACGGUUUCCGUGUCGUAGCUAACGCAUUAAGCGCCCCGCCUGGGG